This 159-nucleotide unclassified non-coding RNA is filed under the name uncultured fungus. RNAcentral's name for it is "sequence contains ITS1". The record is from RNAcentral. Lineage: Eukaryota; Fungi.
UUGAAUUGUUUGUCUGAACUGGCUUGCCAGUUUGACAUCCAUAUCCUUCACACCUGUGCACUGUUGGAUGACCAGAUCACUACCUUUUGGUAGGAGUCUGCAAGUCCACUUUUACACUUAACAUUAAUGUAACAAAUGUAGUCUUAUUAUAACAUAAUA